This is a long non-coding RNA of Cervus elaphus (red deer), 761 nucleotides long. RefSeq lists it as uncharacterized. Lineage: Eukaryota; Metazoa; Chordata; Mammalia; Artiodactyla; Cervidae. The record is from RefSeq and is a predicted model, not a curated record. The transcript is spliced from 3 exons.
UGCAAACCCCACACUUUCUUUUUACUUCCUAUGUUCAUAAAACUAUUCACUGCUCCCCCCGCCCUCCCCAGACAGAACAGGGCUAAUUAUGAUUUCAUAGUCAUGUAUAAGGAAAUCCCCAGUCAUUUUUUAGGGUUGCAGUUAUGUAAUUACAGUCAGCCCAAAUCUAUCAUUUUAGAAGUAGGUUUUAGUCUAAACAGAUCCUGCCUGUCAGGUUUUGAAGCAGUGGGUGAAAACAGUCUCUCGAUCUGCUCAGGAAUGAGCUGCUAUCUGGGGACACAGAGAGCCUGAGAGUGACUUCACCACCUAUUCAUUUAUUUACUUGAAGAUUUACGCUGUUGUAGCCUAGGCUGAAUCUGCUGGUUCAAAAAAUGUUAAGAACUGCUGAAUAAACAAUUAAACUUUUCCUAAGAGCUCCAGGUGCAGACGGUUUUCAAGUAAAUAGCCUACGCAUGAUAUGAAAGGACAGGACAGACUCCCGCCCAGAAAAACAGAUCCUCGUGUCCUUCCGCUGGUUGUUCCUCCUCUGGAGUGGUGGCGAUGAGAAGAGAAGCUCCCCAACCAAGUUACAAGCUCAAGGAAAUAAGACCUGAUACUCUCUGUGACCUCAAUCUACGUGUAGAUUCACUGUAAGAGAUGUCAGUUUCAGCAAUGAAGACUGUUCCUGUAUCCAAUCCCAGGAGGGGAUCUGUACAAAACUGUACACACUUUUGAAUAACUGAUACUGGAUCAAUAUAUAAAAAAGGCAGAAAUUAAUCAUA